Choloepus didactylus (southern two-toed sloth) is the source of this 75-nucleotide small nucleolar RNA. RefSeq annotates it as small nucleolar RNA U13. NCBI's taxonomy places the organism in Eukaryota, Metazoa, Chordata, Mammalia, Pilosa, Megalonychidae. The record is from RefSeq and is a predicted model, not a curated record. The transcript has a single exon.
UUCCUUUUGUGGCUCAUGAGCAUGAUGAAUGGGUAUUCACUCAUUUGUGUGAAACGUGCCUCCUCUGACAUGUAA